UCGAGCGAAGCCUUCGGGCUUAGCGGCGGACGGGUGAGUAACGCGUGGGAACAUACCCUUUGGUACGGAAUAGCCCCGGGAAACUGGGAGUAAUACCGUAUGUGCCCCCCCAAUCAAAUUUCAUUUGAUUGAAAUAUCGAUCUUAUCGAGUUCUUGUGGAAUUUGAUGGGGGGGGAAAGAUUUAUCGCCAAAGGAUUGGCCCGCGUUGGAUUAGGUAGUUGGUGGGGUAAUGGCCUACCAAGCCGACGAUCCAUAGCUGGUUUGAGAGGAUGAACAGCCACAUUGGAACUGAGACACGGUCCAAACUCCUACGGGAGGCAGCAGUGGGGAAUUUUCCGCAAUGGGCGAAAGCCUGACGGAGCGACGCUGCGUGAAGGAUGACGGCCUGCGGGUUGUAAACUUCUUUUCUCGAAGAAGAAUAAAUGACGGUAUUCGAGGAAUAAGCAUCGGCUAACUCUGUGCCAGCAGCCGCGGUAAGACAGAGGAUGCAAGUGUUAUUCGGAUUGAUUGGGCGUAAAGCGUCUGUAGGCGGUUUGGAAAGUCUUUUGUGAAAUUCUUCAGCUCAACUGGGGGUCCGCAAAAGAAACUUCUAGGCUUGAGGGAAGUAGAGGUACAGGGAAUUUCCGGUGGAGCGGUGAAAUGCGUAGAUAUCGGAAGGAACACCAAUAUGGCGAAGGCACUGUACUGGGCUUUACCUGACGCUAAGAGACGAAAGCUAAAGGAGUGAUUAGGAUUAGAUACCCUAGUAAUUUUAGCCGUAAACGAUGGAAACUCACUGCCGAGC
RNAcentral lists this ribosomal RNA (784 nucleotides) under uncultured bacterium. RNAcentral's name for it is "bacterial SSU rRNA". It matches the Rfam family "Bacterial small subunit ribosomal RNA", at positions 62 to 828 of the family's 1533-position model. The record is from RNAcentral.